RNAcentral lists this ribosomal RNA (119 nucleotides) under Pteropus alecto (black flying fox). The record is from RNAcentral. Lineage: Eukaryota; Metazoa; Chordata; Mammalia; Chiroptera; Pteropodidae.
GUCUACAGCAAAGCCACUCUGACCAUGCAAGAUCUUGUCUGAUCUUGGAAGCUAAGCAGGAUCGGGCCCGGUUAGUACUUGGAUGGGAGACCACCUAAGAAGACCAGGUACUGUAGAUG